UUACGGGAGGCAGCAGUGGGGAAUAUUGCACAAUGGGCGAAAGCCUGAUGCAGCGACGCCGCGUGAGGGAUGACGGCCUUCGGGUUGUAAACCUCUUUCAGCAGGGAAGAAGCGAGAGUGACGGUACCUGCAGAAGAAGCGCCGGCUAACUACGUGCCAGCAGCCGCGGUAAUA
RNAcentral lists this ribosomal RNA (174 nucleotides) under uncultured Actinomycetes bacterium. Its description in RNAcentral is "uncultured actinobacterium partial 16S ribosomal RNA". It matches the Rfam family "Bacterial small subunit ribosomal RNA", at positions 339 to 525 of the family's 1533-position model. The record is from RNAcentral. Lineage: Bacteria; Bacillati; Actinomycetota; Actinomycetes.